Molecule: long non-coding RNA, 876 nt
Organism: Scophthalmus maximus (turbot)
Lineage: Eukaryota; Metazoa; Chordata; Actinopteri; Pleuronectiformes; Scophthalmidae
Exons: 3
Source: RefSeq, a predicted model, not a curated record
UGGAGCCAGUACAACGGUCACAGUGAGGGGGAAAUGUUUCCAUGCAUUCAAAAGGCUGUCAGAUAUGAUUUUCUCUUAGGGCCUACACUUAAUUAUUUCUGAUGUCCAUACAAUACACUUUCUGUAAACAAUAAGAGCUACAGUAAAUCAGUGAGUCUUAGUUUACAAGGUGCCCCGUUUCCUGAUUGUGAGAUAACACACAGUGUAGAUGUGGACGUGCCGGAUUGGUCAAGUGGCGUCUCUUCUUUUCCUGAACUUAAUUUUUGCUGUGGGACUGCGGGGCUACUUGGUGUUGUCCAUCCGAAGAGCGGAUUUCAUGCUGUGAAGUGAUCUUGAUCUCUGGCUGGAUUAAAGCGGUCUUCUGUGUAUGGCAACGAGUGUGUGUGUGUCUCCACGUUAUACGUGGACGUGUAUAUAACCGUGCUUAUUUGCCGAAGCAAAGACGAUUCACUGCAACGUGCAGUGUUGAACCUGAGACUUUUCUGCGCUUGGGUUCUCGCACAACUCCAGAUUUACUGUAUCCCAAAUUAAAGUGCAUCCUUUCCUGUCUAUUCUUGUCACGUGUCGACUCUGCGUGCUAAGUUACCAUAAUGAUAUUCAGUAUUUGUUUUGUCUGCCUCUGUACACAGGAACAGCUCACCCCUCAAACACAACCAGAAACCUCAGCUGAUGAUUGACAGCCGAGGCAGCAGGCUUGGCCUGUCAGACAGUGACGGAAAAAAGAGGGAGAGAGAGAGCGAACUGCUGUACUUUCUGCUGACUGAAGACUCGCACCGCCUCCAUUACUGCGCGCCACCACCAUAAAGGGGAGUGCCGGCAGUGCAGAGGAAGAAAAGAGGGAGAUUGACAUAAAGAUGACUACUUCUUCUGUAAAGU